This is an RNA transcript of Fukomys damarensis (Damara mole-rat), 14301 nucleotides long. It is a transcript of the gene named thioredoxin domain containing 2, with no coding region annotated. The transcript is spliced from 3 exons. The record is from RefSeq and is a predicted model, not a curated record. NCBI's taxonomy places the organism in Eukaryota, Metazoa, Chordata, Mammalia, Rodentia, Bathyergidae.
CUUGGUGUUAGUAUGUCUGCAUAGAACUCUGGUUUGGCUGUAGAAGGGAUGCUUGUCUACAUUCAGUGGGAAUGUUGCCUCCUGCUGAGCUGGCUUCUUGGUAUUCUUUCUGCUGUUGAUUUCUAGCAUAAUUACCUGUGAUUGUGUGAAUGGAGUGGAAAGAGCACAUAGCAUUAAUUCCAAAUAAGUGUACUGUCUUAAUCACUUUGCAUUGCUGAAACACAAUGCCCAACACCAGGAAAUUAAAGGAGAGGUUUAUUUUGGCCUAGCAGCUUCAGUCCAUGUCUGGCAGGCUUAAACACAGAAACAGCCUGGUGGAAGGGCCUGGGCAGAGGAAGGCUGCUCAUGUCAUGGUGGUCAGGAAGUACGGGGAGUCCAGAGAGAGAGAGAAAGAGACACCCACCCCGAUGGACCCGCCUCCCCUGAGCAAGCCCCACCUCCUGACAACAAGUCAGCUCCCUCACUGCCCUGCCCAUGACCCAUGAGCCUUUAGGGGACAUUCUCCAUCGAAACCAUAACAAGGACCUAAGCAGUUACAGUGGUAACAAGGCCAUAUGUAACACAUUACCCAGUACUUUAGAAGCCAAUAGGUUAAAUCUAAGGACUUAGUCAAAGUUCAGGAAUUAAAAGUCCAAGAUGAAAUAAAUACUGAGUUCUCUGCCCAAGCAUGAGGGGCAAGGGAGGGAAAAUGGAGGAAAGGGUCAAAGGGUGAAUACCCCACUCUGGUCUCCUCCCCACAAGACGCAACACCUGGUCCAGUGAGCCUCUCCAGGGGGCAUCACUGGAAUAUUUUCUUAAACAAAAAGAACUACCAAAAAAAUACCUUUUUCUGAAAAUUAUCUCAUAUGAAAAAAAUUUACACAUGACUAGAAAACCCCAAAGAACAUGCAUUGUGUUAAUAGCAAUGAUCCUGAAACAUGCUUACCGUGAGUAGUCUUUGUUUCCUUUUCUUUGCUUAUGUUUUCUAGUAUUUCUAUUAUGAAUGCUACUACUUUGUAAUUGUGAAACCAUCAUCAUGUGUAAAACCCAGUCUGUACCCUGUUGCUUGCCUCACCACCUUCCUCACCACAGGGUGUGGGUGCAGCCUGGAUCCGCCCAACGAUGCCCUGCUUGAGGAUGCCUUUACCCCUGGGCUCUGCCCUUUCCUGAGGGGACCCAGUGGGGCGGGGUGGGAGAAGGACCCUGUAUUCCUCUCUGGCAGGGUCUUGGGAAUUGUCCCUGGACACCGAGCCUAAGAAGGAGCCUUUCCAGCUGUUUUACAGCUGGUGGCUGGUUGCUUCUCUUGUCUGAGACAUAACCCUGGUUGACACCCAGACCCAGAGCCAUGUAGAGACUAGACUGUGCUGAAGGAAAAUAUACAUUUUAUGAUGUCAAAUGAAAAUUAUUCCAAGCCAUCAAUAUUUCAAGUGGCUUAGCAUCCAUUUGAGUUGCACAAGGAAGAGUAAAAAUAACUGGAGCAACUCUGCCAAAUCCAAAACGCAACAAAGAUCUCCAAGCAUAAAUGUGCCAGGGUCACAGAUUUCCUGACUUUUACUAAGACAUGCAGAUGCAAUGUAGCUUAAAAUGUUUUUGGAAAUGGAUCAACUUUUCCCCAGGAGCCUUAUCUCAGUGGGUUUAGGGAGGGAUGAUGAGGAAGGAAUGGGGAUAACAGACAGACUAAACGUCCCUGUUAGUGGAAUCUCAGCUCGAGAACAAUUUUUCACAGGGGUAGGGCUCUGUGCUGCAGCGGACCCCUGCCCUGUCGCACGGAGGUACAGAGGGCUAUUGCGGGUGAGUGGUGGCCUGGUACUCCGAGGCGUGCAGGGCUUCGGAUGCCUGGCACACCUGUGCAGUCCAGGAACCCAUUCACACCUUCCCCUGCUGGUGGCUCCCACUAUGUCUGUUCUCCCUGGGCUUCUGGAUGGAGCGCGAAGCCAGUACCUUCUGCAUGAGCGUUCCUCUGAGUGCAUUUAACCAGCAGACAUACCAAGUGUCACUCUGGAGGGAGAGGCUGGGACACAGGUACCUGUCUUCUUGCUUUCCAUAUCUUCCUCUGUGUUAGGGAAUUUCUUUUGUGUCACCAUCUACCUCCUUCUCAAAAGCUGGAGCCCUAUGUAAGACAGAGUCCAAGAAGACAAAUUAAUUUUCCAAUGAGUGAGGUUCAAAAAGAUUGUCCUUUUUUCUUUUCUUUAGUGGGGAUUGAAUUCGGGACCUUGUGCAUGCUAAGUAACUGCUUGACCGUGAGCUACUCCCAGUCCAUUGUCUUUUAGACUAGUAAAGCUGCUCACGAGGAUUGCUAUGGUUUGGACGAGUGUCCCAAAGACUCAUGGGUAACAAGCUGGGUCCACAGCUCAUGGCACUGUUGGAGAGUGGGAAUCUUUAAGAGGAGGCCUAGCAGGAGGUUUCUGGUUAUAUAGGGGUGGCCCUUGAGGGGCAUACUGGGACCCCAUCCCUCCUCUUUCUCUUUUUGCUUCAGGGUUACUGUGUGGUAGGCAGCUUUCUCCCAUGUACUGCCAUGAUGUGCUGUCUGCCACAGGCCCCAGAGCAACCAGCCAUGGACUGUGACUGAAACCUCCAAAAUUGUGAGGCUAAACAGCACUCCCUAAGCUGAUUAUCUUAGGUAUAUUGUUACAGGGACGAAUAACUUACUAACAAGGAUUUACAUGGCAUGUGCCAAACCUAAUUGUUUUGAUGCUUUUCUCCAAACUCUUAUUAAGGAGGAAGGCAUCAAGGAGGCCUGCGAUUUAGCCCCAUCCUUUGCUUUACCAUGGUACCUGGUGAAUGAGAGGCCUGUCAGCUGUAGAGACCUUUGCAUAAGAGAGUGAAGAUGUCCUCUUUUUCUUUAGAAUGUCCUGGUGGGAAGGUCUGUAGUUCUCUGCCCAGUGUUUCCUGGUGAGCUUUCCUCAGUGAUAUCAGAGGAACCAGAGGGGAAGUAUGAGCUCUUGCCUGGAGGGGAUUAAUGUUAUCAAGAAAUACGGGUUUGUAAGGCCCACGUCUUCCCCAUCUCCAUCCUCCCUUGAUACAGUGUGCUGUGGUACAAAAGUCCGGAUAAUGGAAACGCUGCCAUUAGAAGCUUCUACAGACAGUGUGGACAUCUUACCUAAGUCAAGCAGCUCUCUCAGUUCCAGUGCACAUAGCACUGGGGUGAAACUCAAACACAUGGGACUUGCUAGAAGUAUUUGUUGAGAAUGCAUAAUUCCACAUGGAUAUGUGGCACCUUGGCCUGGCCAAGCGUGUAGGGUGAGGGUGAAAGUAUGCACAUGGCCCUAGGCCAAUGGAAGGAGGCAUCUCAGAGGAAAGGCUUAUUCAUAUAUUGAUUUUGAGUGGUGCUGGAGAGUAAACCUGGGACCUAGCCAUGCUGGGUAAGAGUUCUACUGCUGAGCUGCUCCUCUGCCCCUGAAGAAAGGUAUUUAGACUGCGAUUCCACCGACUGAGACAGACGUGGCUGACAGAGCCAGGAGCAGCUACAGGAGGCUACUCCCCUCCGGGAGAAGUGGGUGGUGGUGAACUUGGAUGUGCCCAGGAGAGAGAGAGGCAAGUGGGCUCAUGCUGCUAUGAGCAGGAGGUGGGCCGUUGCCAGUGUGCUGCCUUUUGCUGAAGAGACCAGCAUGGUUGCGAGGAGAUGCUUAGGAGAGGGUACAGUGAGCGUUACGGUUUGGACGGUUGGUGCCUCGGAAGGCUCAUAUGUGGGAAGCAUGGUCCCCAGUGUGGUAUCAUGAAGAGGUGCUGGGGUCUUUAGAGGUGGGGCUUAGUGGGAGUUGGGUAAGUCACUGGGAAGCUGCCCUUAGAAGAAACUAAGGUAAAACUAAUGAGACCCUGAGCUGGUUCUCUUGAGAGGGUUUUAUAAGAGUACGAGUCUGGCUCCUCCACCUAUCCUGGCUUCCCAUGUCACCACCAGACCUCCCUCUUGAUGGGCUCCACUGUUGUACUUCUGUCUACCAUGAGCCUUCGCCAGAGCUGAAUGGAUGCUGGUGCUAUGCUCUGGGAGCUCCAGAACUGUGAGCUAAAUAAACUGUGAAGCUGGGACUGGAGAAUCCUGGAAGGAGAUUCUAGGACAGUAGGUUCAUGUGUUACCCACCUCAGACAGGACAUUUAGCAGAGUACAGCCCAGGGCAGUAGGACAGAGUGUAGGCCUUGGGACCAGCCCCACCCUGGGUUUGUGACUUGGAGUGAGCUAGUAACUUGUAAGGUGCUGGUCAUAAUGGUAUUUACCUCAGUGGCUUUAGGAAAUAAUGCCCUGGAUUGCCUAUCUACAGCUUCAGACACCACGUGUCCACCAGUGUGAGGCCACCAUGAAGCUUUCUGAUAUCGCUGUGGGGAGUACUGAUACAGGAAACCAACUGUAAAGUGCUACCUGAAUAUCAUUUUGAUGCCAGCUUGGAAAACAUAGAAGGUACAGUCUUCACCCAGAGGCAUCUAUAAAGCAGCAGAAGUGGAUGUAGACAGAGCUGGAGAUGGAAAAUGUUCAAGAUGGAGCCCCAGAAAAACCAGAAACAAAAGUAGACCCUCAAGAAAAAACACAUGAAGGUGACCCUGAUGAAAUCUCAUUACAGUUUCCAUCCAGCAAUGUGGCUCUUCCGGUCCCAGAGUUCUUGAAAACAGCACAGGCCAAGGAGAAGACGGUCUUUCUCCCUGUGGUGAGCAACACACUCCACAUGUCCACUGCAGAGUCUGAGUUUCCACAGAAGGGAAGUGACAUUCCCAAGUUCCCAGCAAAUAUUGUGCAUUACAAGAAAGGCAACAUCUCUGGAUCCUCAGCUAAAACCACACAGCCCAAGCACAGCAACACACCCAAGUCCUUGGCAAACACUACCCAGGCCAAACAGGGAAACAUCCCCAAGUCCUCAGAGAAGAUCAUCCAGUCCAAAGAGGAUGAUAUUCCCACAUCCUCAGAGGGCGUGACUCAGCCUAAAGAGGAUGACAUCCUCAAGUCCUCAGAGAAAACCAUCCAAUUCGACCCAGGGAAUGUCCUCAAGACCUCUGAGAAAACCAACCAGUUCAACCCAGGGAACAUCCUCAAGUCCUCAGAGAAAACCAUCCAGUUCAACCCAGGGAACAUCCUCAAGAUCUCCGAGAAAACCAUCCAGUUCGACCCAGGGAACGUCCUCAAGACCUCCGAAAAAAACAACCAGUUCAGUCCGGGGAAUAUCCUCAAGUCCUCAGAGAAAAACAUCCAGUUCAACCCAAAGAACUCCCUCAAGUCCUCAAAGAAAACCAUCCAGCUAGAGCCAGGGAACAUACUCAAGUCCUCAGAGAAAACCAACCAGUUCAAUCCAGGGAACAUCCUCAAGUCCUCAGAGAAAAACAUCCAGUUCAGUCCGGGGUCCUCCCUCAAGUCCUCAGAGAAAACCUUCCAGUUCGACCCAGGGAACAUCUUCAAAUCCUCAGCAAACACCAUCCUGUCCAAGAACAGUAACACAGCCAAGUCUUUGGCAAAAAAUACCCAGCCCAAACAGGGAAACAUUUCCAAGUCUUUAGCAAGUACAAUCCAGUCCAAGGAGGGCAACAUCCCCAAGUCCUCAGAGGAUAUCACCCAGCCCAAGGAUGGUGACAUCCUUAAGUCCUCAGAGGAGACCACCCAGCCCAGAGAGGGUGACAUCCCCAAGUCCUCAGAAGAGACCACCCAGCCCGAGGAAGAUGCUAUUUUAGGGGUCAAAAAAGAAGCAGUGGAGUCCCUUGAGCAGGAUGUAGUGAAGGUGAUCAUGGGCAAGGAGGACUUGGAGAGAGCACUCAGGGAGGCUGGGGAGAGGCUGGUGGUUGUGGACUUCUCGGCCACAUGGUGUGGGCCCUGCAGGAGCAUCUGGCCGCUUUUCCAUUUCCUGUCUCUGAAGCACAGCGACGUCAUGUUCCUAGAAGUGGAUGCUGAUGACUGUGAGGAGCUGGUGAAAGACUGUGAGGUGGUUUGUCUCCCAACCUUUCACUUUUAUAAAAAAGAAGAAAAGGUGGGUGAGCUUUGUGGUGCCCAUAAUGAAAAACUCGAAGCAAAAAUUACAGAAUUAAAGUAACCAUAUAUUCUGAGAACAUUGGAAACCACAGGUGACAGCUUAUGUUUUUUUCUUAAUUUGCAAAAAGGAACAGGUAUAACAAAUUAUGUCUAAAUGACAUAGCUUGUAAAUUUUGAGUGUGAAGACUUUGAAAGCACAAGACAUUAGAACACAUUGUGACCAUGAUUCUACUCAUAGGAGAGAGGGAUUGGAAGCUCCUUGGUGGAGAUCAGAAGUCUUCCUUUCCAUCUUGUUUUUUCCAUUGCCUUUGAAAAUUCUGCUCAUUAAGUGUUUGCAGCAACAAUGGACAUUUAGAAAAUUCAUCUGUAGCUGUAUAUGGCUAACAACAAGUGGAAAAUUCUUUCACCGUGCACGCAUAUCUUUGGGGGCUCAGAGUAGAUUCUUCUGGACAGCGAGUGGAAGUCACAUCUUAGCUCACGUCCUCCUCGUGCAGGGAGUGCUAGGAGGUGCCUGCAGACUGAGGCUCUGUUCUCGGUCUUCAGGUCCAGGCUCUUUGCUCUGGCCACACUCACCAAAUACAGGGCAGUGCUCAGCACUUUGGGUCCUCAGAGGCUUAAGUCCUUGUGAUCCUCGGUCCCUUCUGACGUCAGCACUGUGGUGGCAAAGUUUGUGCUUAACUUGGUUCCUAAUUCCUAGCCCCAGAUCUCCCUGAACCUGGAGGCCCAGGUGUGGCCCACAGGUGGCAGCUUGGUCCAAGGGGUUGCUAUCUACUUAACAGCUUUGCUGAGGUCUGUAUGCCAAGAACCCACACGCUUCAUAUGGGCAGCGGGUGAGUUUGGCUAAGCACACACACCAGUGGUCCCAUGGCCUCCAGGAGCUGCCUUGUGCCCUCUGCUUUUCUUAUAACUCGAAGAACACUGCUCUGGUUACCAAGAGAUCUUUAAUGCAUUUUAAGUGGCCAAUACCAUAUUGCUAACCCCAGGCACUGUGUCACACAGCUGACUUCUAGGACCCAGGCACUGUGUAGAGCUGAAAACUUGUACCUUGUAUUGAACAGUUAUUCUUGUUUCCCCCUUGCCCCACUAAGCAGCCACUAUUCUAUUUUCUAUUGACUCAGAAUGCUUUUUAAAAAUAUGGAUUUGUUGUCAAUAUUUUAAAAACCACGAUUUCCUUUAAAGUCUAGAUUUCCAGGUUUUCUUGAAAAAUGGUGAGGUCUGGCAACCCGAGAUUUGCAUUAUUUCAAGAAACAAAUCUCAUCCUGGGGGUGAGUGGUGGCUUCCUCGCUCUGGUCCACCACAGAACCUGGCAGGCUUCAUUCGUCUGGUGGAGGCCGUGGGGCAGCCCCUGGGCGGGCCAGAGCGGGGCUAUAGUCACCCUGCACCCUGUCCCUGGGUGGGUGCUCCACGGGCACCUCAGGCAGCAGCUCGCUUUGCACCGUUAUCAGCAGCCUCCUACAGCCGGCAGAUCCGUGGUACAUAGACUUGGCCUUGUCCAAAACAGAUCUGGAAUGGCCUCCAGAAAAUACUGCUGAUGAGGCUACAGAAUGAGGGGAAAUCAGAACCCAUGGGCUCUUCGGGCCUGUGUAAUUGCUCUGAUUGAGUGCCAUGCUUUCUUUUUGAGCUUCUUCAUGGUUGGGAGAGGAAAGGGGACCUCACUAACCCCCAUAUCUCCUUGUCCAAAAUGAACAAGUUUCGUAAUGUGAAAAAGGAGCCAGAGCUUCCCUUUGGUUCUGAAUGAACUUUCUCACGUGGGACCUUAACUCUGAGACACUGAACAGCAGAUGACGUCCUGGGGAGAUGCAACAAAAGCCAGCCAGAUUUGAAUCGUAGGACAUCAGUAGUCGGCAGGAAAGCAGUUGUUCCUCCGCGGCUGAUGACAGCUGAGAGUGCUGCAACCCCAGGGCCGUGCAAAGGAGCCACACCCAGCCCUGCGCAUUUCGGCCUGAGUCCAUCUGCUCCGCCACAUUACGCAUACCACAAGAAUGGGCGUGGAUUUCUCACCACUCAAGAGCCUGGACGUCAACGUCAAGGUGACUGUGUGGUUGGUUUCCGGGGAGGCCUUGCCCCUCCGCUGCUGGGUGACUGCCUUCCUGUUGCAUUGUCCCCACACGGUCAUUCCCGUGCCUGUUCAUUCCUGGGGUCAGUGUGCCUGGACCUCCUCUUACGAGGACACUGGUCAGUUGGAGUGGGGUCAAUCCUAGCAGCCCUCUUUAGCUUCAUCACCUUUUCAGAGGCCCUGCUCAAGUACAUUCUGAAGUGCUGGGGAUGAGGAUUUUGGGAUGCACAAUUUAGCCCACUUCUGCUUCAGAUGAGGCUCAGAGGCUCGAGCAGCAGAGUCCUUUGGGGCGUGUGACCUAGAGAAUCAUCCCUAAGUAAGGCACGGGAUCCCCAGCUGCAUGUGCUGAUGCUGCAUUUCUGAGAAGGUGGGGGACACCCUACAAAACUGCUUCUCACCACUGUGGGUUCAUCCCCACAGCUGAGAAUGGGACUCCUGCAAAGACCAGGAACAGAUGGCCCCAGAGUGGUCCGUGGCCUCCCCGAGCAUAGCCCCUGCAGUGUGGGUCCCCACUGGGUCCAGUGGCAGCAAGGACCCGGGGAUGUGUCUCCAAGUGAAUCUUCUGUCCUUCGAGGAAUGUGGUGCUCAUGAGUCGGUCCCCGAGCUCAGCUACUCCAGGCCACGGCAUUUCUUUGAUUUCCUAUCGCUCUGCUGGGUAAGGACGUGAGGCCUGUUGAUUUCUAUGUGCUGCUCACCUCAGGAGAGGCUGGACACACUGAGCCCGGGAUUAUAUAAAUCAGGGUCUUCAAACUUAUAAACCCAGAAAUCACACAUGCCUGUUGAGACUUCUGGUUUUAGGCUUCUGGACUGGAAACACUGGAUCAGUAGUUGUGGGCAGGGACUAAGGACUCUUCCCAUGGUCCAGGGGAAAAUCAUACCACAAGUGAGCCUGCCCAAGGCCCCUCCUGUCCUGUGCACCCUGCCAUUCCUCCCAGCCCUUCCUCGGGUCUCCGGAACUCACAGCCCUGGCCUACAAGGGCUGUCUUAAUCCAGCAGAAGAAAGUUUGGUCACUGAAGGGGAUAUUGGAGCCUGGCUUCUCUUUGCCCCACCAUGAGGUGAGCAGGUCUCUCUGCUGUGUGCUCCGCCAUGACGGGAAGUGCCACCACUGACCCCAAAGCAAUGGCCAAGAGACCUUGAGCCAAACCUCUGAAAUCGUGAGCUGAGAUAGACCCUUCCUCUUUAAAGGUCUGUUGUCAAGGUGUUUUAAAAGCUGACUGACACACCUGGCAUUGGUCACUUAGCAGCCUUUCCUUUAGUCUCGUGACUGAGUUUGGAAUACCAUGGUCAGGAGCGGGGUGUCCCCAGCCCAGGGGCGCCGCACACCAGAGGCUGAGGUGUGACUGGGCCAUUCUCCUUGGUGCUCUCUCCAUGAGCGCGAACUGCAGCUAUGCCCCUGUAUUUUUCUCUAGCCCACAGCUUAAUGUCUGAAGCAUGUGUGUAUGCACACACACACACGCACCCACCCACCAUUGAGUCACUUCUCAGUGUCUGAGCUCCCACUUCUGUUGGGCUCUCUCCUGCAGUAACAUCUCUGCAACUGCCCUGUAAUCUGCAAGACCACUUCUUUCCCUGCAGUUACGACUUCACAUUGUCAUUGCUGGUGAGCAAGGGCCUGGUGCCCAACAUGCACAGAAGCCACAACUGGCACCGGGGCCUGCAGAAAGAGCAAGCGUGGGUGUAGGCUAAUUGACAGGGACAGGAGGCACAUGCACAUCUUCCUCCCUGGUCCGCCAGUGAGGAUGGGUUUUCAGGGCUUUGGUUCUGGAAAAGCCAUGGGUCUCCACUGGUUGCAGUUUUGUCUUACAGGGUUUUUACAAUUUCAGUCCUAGGUUGCAAUGUCACGGUCAGUGCCCUGAUCUUGACUUGUUGCUCUGAGUCUGUGGUUCCAUUGUUCUUGAGACUUGGUUCUGCCCACCUCAGAUCAUCCUUAGGUCAGACUUUAAGGUUGCCCUCAGGACACCAGGUUUAUAGAAUGUCUUACACAGCAGUUCAGAAUGCAGAAGUUAUUUGUUAUAUGCUGGCAGCAGGGUAAAGAGCUGAGCUCCACCCUGAUUUGGGUCGAUCAUUGAGCCUCAGCCAUUAUGGGUCUGUGUCUGUGGACUGGCAGUGAUCAGAGCUGGAUUUGGUAAUCCCCCGGAGAACUUUCACUCUUGAUGACAACCUUCUUGGGACUAGCUCUCAGGAGUGGGGGGCAGAGAGAAACAGACCCAAGUUACAAUCAACUUAUUUACAGUGCUGAGCCCUUCUUAGUCAAUGCCCAGCAGGAAGUGGGGGCUGCUGGGGGAGGGCUUGCUUUGCUGUGAGGCAUGUCCUCACUGCGCCCGCUUUCUCUCAGCUUAUCCCAGCCCAUCCACCAGCAGUCAGAGGAUGGGCUCCUGGCCCAGUCUCGGCUCCCCUGAGUUCCAGCUGGUGGUGUUCCAGGAGUAGGCGUGGCCAUCGGUUGGCUUGAAGGCCCUCCCCUCCCCUGCAAUGUUUACAGGAGUGGGUGGCAGCCUGGAAAGGAGUGGCCUAUUGGGCAAAAUUCACCAAGAAGUGAAAAAAGGAAAAGACACAUGAAAAUGCUAAACACAACAGUGUCUGUUUUAUAUACAUUGGACAGAAGGCGCGCAGAGUUAUCACUGGCUAUUUCUGUGCACAGAUAUUUUUUCUUCAGCUUUGAUGUUUUUUUUCUGCUUGUUUAUGUAAUGAAAGAAAAAAAAUGACACCUGUUUAGAUACAGCUGAGGACACCAACAGCUGCUGGAAGAGUCUACACAGGAGGACUGAGGCCAGGGCGAGGGAGCCCAAGGCCAAGGGUGUUGAGCUGCAGAUGCUGACCUUAGCCAGAGGCUCUGGGUUGAGUGUGUACUCGGCUUUAGGGCACAAGUGGGCUAAGGAUACAAACACAUCAGUACAUGCUCUUCUGUUUGGAAAUGAGCUGCUGUGAUCUGGAUUGCCAGGGUCGGAAACCCAACUCAGACCUACUCCAGCAAAGUUGGAGAGUGUAUCAAGCCCGGAAACUGGAAGUCUGAAGGGGAGGGACUGAUUCACAUGGAUACAGAGACUCAAACACCAUCGGGACACAGAUGUUCCUCCCCUCAGCUCAACUGUUGGUCUGGAUUUUACCAUCAGUUGCGUCUGUGGCUCACAAUCAUAGAUGAAAAGGGAGCCUGUUUCCAAAACCCAGAAGGAAAGUCCAAGGAGAGACUGUGAUCGUCUGGGUCAGGUGUCCUCCUUGAACCCUUGUGCCCUGGGAAGAGUUGGAGGAGAGGGUUGGUCAGGCUCGGUCACUCGCGCAUGCCCAGAGCAGGGUCAGGGCCAUCAAAGUGCCAGUGCUGAUCCGGGUUCCUGUGGGAAGUAGGGGCAGGAAGAGCUGCCCUGAUCACACAGAUCGAUUGCAGGAGAGAACAUGGAGCACCACUGUGUGGACUUAGACGCUGUCCUAAGAAUGUGGUCAGAGCAUGGCAUCCAUUUAGCAAUCCUCAUGGGAAGCCAAACCCACUAGGGGUCUGUGUAUUCAUCACGUUCCUUUUAAACACACCUCACUUCACUUUGACCCAUUCUAAUUUCCUUGCAUCUGUAAAUACACCACCUUAGAACUAAAUAAUUCUAUGUUCACAUGACAAAUGACCUCAUGAUAACUAGUGGCUUUCAUUGAAAUGGGCGCACAGGGCCAGGUGUGGUGGUAGAUGUUGCUAAUCCCAGCACUCUGGGAGGCUGAGGCAGAAGAAUCUCAAAUUGGAGCCCUGCCUGGGAGACAGCUACUUAGUAAGAUCUUAUCUCAAAAUAAAAAAACUAAAACUGACGGGGUUAUAGCUCAGUGCAAAGGCCUUGGGUUCAUUCCUUUGUACUGAAAAAAAGUUGGCAUACGAGAAGUGAAUCAGAAAAUAUUAUGAAGCAUUCUAUUUCUCAGUGUUGUUAUAAUGGAGCACCUGGCCUGACAAGGGCUAUUUUAUUUUAUUUACUUAUUCUUUUUAUGGUACGGAGGAUCUAACUCAGGUCCUUGCUAUUUUGAGGCAGGUGGUGGAACCCCUGAGCUAAAUCCCAGCCCUUGUACUGCUUUAUAAACAAAGAAGCUUAUUUAGCCCUCAGUUUUUGAGGCUGAAAGUCACAGCAUGAUGUCAUAUUUGUUCAGGCUCUAGAGCUUUACGGUGGAGUGGCCUGAGCACCAAGGCUGGCCUGCUUUGAAUAACCUGCUCCUCAGAGAAGGAACUCACUGCACAGGAGCAGCCUGAAUCCCUCCCAAGCCCUACCCACCGAAGACCGAGGCUCUUCCCCCAGGACCUGUCUCAUGCGGUUCUGGUGUGGGGGAAGAGAUGCCAGUCCCAAACCUGCUUCGUGUUCUCUAAAAUCAAAAAUGAAUUCUAGGAACAAUGGAGGUUAAAAGAAGGGAGAAUUUAUUGAGAGAAAGAUAGUUUCUAAGAGAGAAAGGGGACUGGACAAUGAGUUACUCAUUCACCCAACUUCUCAAAGGUGUUUUAUGGGACAAAACCAUACUGUGAGGCAGGUUCAAGAUGGGACAAAACUAUAGUCAACUAGUAAGAUUACAAGUACUGUCGCUUAGGUAAUAUCGAUUAAUGGGGGUCCAAUGGGGAAGCAAGUCUCGCAGCAGGCGUUCAAGUAACAGAGCAAGGUUUUGGGUGAGGUGUGGGUCAAGGAUCUUCCCUGGAAGAUCCUGGUCCCCCUCCCAGGUGAUUGAUACCUCUUUAGAAUAUCAGUCACUGAUAUUUAUCCUACAUGGGUGUGGCAGUUUCUCCUCUUAUAACACUGGCCUUCAGUGAGCGUGUCUUGAUUGUCCUCCAUGUUGGCUUCUCGAGGGCUGGCCCUGUCUGACUGCCUACCAGACAUCUAGUUAACUUACCUAUUCUACAGUAGUUCUGCUGUCUCCACAUCCACCGCACCGGAGCCCAGGCUGAUGGAUUGCAAGCCUUUCAGGGAUGCACUCACACUGAUCCAGACCACAGUGGGCACCUGCAAGAAGGGGGUGCUGGGAAACACACUGAACAGCAGGACGCAGUGCUGGCACCUGCUCCCCUAAACAAGGCUUUCAAAACUUGCUGUUCUCCACACACAAUGUAAUAGAUUCUACUUAAACUGCUUAUCCACCGUUCAAUACCUCUGUCUUUUUGAGGUAUAAAUGGCUAUUUCAAAUAAAGUAUAUUCAGCAAACACUUGGAAGUUAUGAUAUAUAGUGCUGCUUAGAAUUCUGUGAUUUUUGGUACAUCUUUUUAGUUUCUCAGGACUUGAAAGGGAGUUGCCUAUAGUGCAUUCUAGCAAAAAUUAACUAAGAAGCAAAGUAAACCAAAAGGUACAAGGAGAAGUUAGGACCCAGAGUUUGAAAUAAUAAUGGGACUUUAACCAGGAGAUCCUUUAACAUGGUGAAAAUAGACACCUAGUGUAACAUCUUGGAUGUAGACACACAGGUAACUCCCAAGGCUGUAGCUUAAAGGUUUGGGAAAAUCAAGAUGAUCAACUUUCAGAACAAAAAAAGGAUGAUUUAUCUGAAAAUCAAAUCAUUGAUCACAGAAAAUGAUAAAUGCCAAGACAUCACAGUGGUAAUGACAGGCAGGGACUGAAAUGGAGAAAGGUGAAUUCUUACCUGUUGGCAAAAAGCCCACAGGCUGAGGGGCACUGUUCAGGUAAGAUGGUCAUUUGGGGGGAAAGCAGGCUUGGUGAGGGGUGCAUGGGGGGAGCAGCCUGGCUUUCCGGUAUCGGGUUUGCAAGCCUCUUGCUUCCCUGGAACUCCCAGCCUCUGCCUCUGGAAGGGCCUUCCGGAAGUCUCCAGAAAGGUGGAAAAGAGCUGCUGCACUCUGCCCUGCCGCAACAGCCACAAAGCCUUGGUGUGUUUGAAAGGCAGAGCUAAGUGCGAGGGAGCCUAAUGCUCAGAUGGAUCGAUACCUUUCACGACCUUAGGAAGAUGGAGGAGGAGGCCACCAGUUAGCUAGUGAUUCUGCCUUUAGAAAUCACAGGUGAGGCUGUCCAGCUCUGAGUAAUGGGAAUUUAAGCAGCUUCUUGGUGCAGCAAUUUAACAGCAAUUAGUUUUGAUGACCUCCCCAGUUCUUUUGCCGAAUUAAUUUGAUCUUCUCUUGUGAGUUUGAAAUUACACUGAGAUAAAGGUCUCUCCCUCCCCCCUUCCCUCCCUCCCUCCCUCUGUCUUUCCUUCCGCCUGUCUUUCUUUCUCUCUCAUUCUUAAAAUGUUAACUUUAAUUAUGAAUUAAAAGAACCAGCUGAGAUUAGGAAAUAUAGGCAGGACUUUAUUAGCGUUUAAUUGGUCCCAAAUACAAUCCUACUUGUGACCUAGGCACUUAAAAGUAAAGUGCUUUAUAUAUAAUCUGUGCCUGUA